CCUACGGGAGGCAGCAGUGAGGAAUAUUGGUCAAUGGACGAGAGUCUGAACCAGCCAAGUAGCGUGAAGGAUGACUGCCCUAUGGGUUGUAAACUCUUUUUAUAUGGGAAUAAAAUGUUCCACGUGUGGGAUUUUGUAUGUACCAUAUGAAUAAGGAUCGGCUAACUCGGUGCCAGCAGCCGCGGUAAUACGGAGGAUCCGUGCGUUAUCCGGAUUUAUUGGGUUUAAAGGGAGCGUAGGUGGGUUGUUAAGUCAGUUGUGAAAGUUUGCGGCUCAACCGGAAAAUUGCAGUUGAAACUGGCAGUCUUGAGUACAGGAGAGGUGGGCGGAAUUCGUGGUGUAGCGGUGAAAUGCUUAGAUAUCACGAAGAACACCGAUUGCGAAGGCAGUUCACUGGACUGCAACUGACACUGAGGCUCGAAAGUGUGGGUAUCAAACAGGAUUAGAUACCCCUGUAGUC
RNAcentral lists this ribosomal RNA (460 nucleotides) under uncultured bacterium. RNAcentral's name for it is "partial 16S ribosomal RNA". It matches the Rfam family "Bacterial small subunit ribosomal RNA", at positions 338 to 795 of the family's 1533-position model. The record is from RNAcentral.